Molecule: ribosomal RNA, 641 nt
Filed under: Bacillus spizizenii
Lineage: Bacteria; Bacillati; Bacillota; Bacilli; Caryophanales; Bacillaceae
Description: bacterial SSU rRNA
Rfam family: Bacterial small subunit ribosomal RNA
Source: RNAcentral
GGCUAAUACCGGAUGCUUGUUUGAACCGCAUGGUUCAAACAUAAAAGGUGGCUUCGGCUACCACUUACAGAUGGACCCGCGGCGCAUUAGCUAGUUGGUGAGGUAAUGGCUCACCAAGGCAACGAUGCGUAGCCGACCUGAGAGGGUGAUCGGCCACACUGGGACUGAGACACGGCCCAGACUCCUACGGGAGGCAGCAGUAUGGAAUCUUCCGCAAUGGACGAAAGUCUGACGGAGCAACGCCGCGAGAGUGAUGAAGGUUUUCGGAUCGUAAAGCUCUGUUGAUAAGGAAGAACAAGUACCGUUCGAAUAGGGCGGUACCUUGACGGUACCUAACCAGAAAGCCACGCCUAACUACGUGCCAGCAGCCGCGGUAAUACGUAGGUGGCAAGCGUUGUCCGGAAUUAUUGGGCGUAAAGGGCUCGCAUGCGGUUUCUUAAGUCUGAUGUGAAAGCCCCCGCCUCAACCGGGGAGGGUCAUUGGAAACUGGGGAACUUGAGAGCAGAAGAGGAGAGUGGAAUUCCACGUGUAGCGCUGAAAUGCUUAGAGAUGUGCAGGAACACCAGUGGCGAAGGCGACUCUCUGGUCUGUAACUGACGCUGAGGAGCGAAAGCGUGGGGAGCGAACAGGAUUAGAUACCC